This is a non-coding RNA of Podarcis lilfordi (Lilford's wall lizard), 78 nucleotides long. The record is from the annotation of a GenBank genome assembly. NCBI's taxonomy places the organism in Eukaryota, Metazoa, Chordata, Lepidosauria, Squamata, Lacertidae.
GGAGAGAUAAAGGGAGAUAGGAAAUUCUGCAUCUGCUUUGCAUGCAGAAGGUCCCAGGUUCAACCCCUGGCCUCUCCA